Alligator mississippiensis (American alligator) is the source of this 445-nucleotide long non-coding RNA. RefSeq lists it as uncharacterized. The record is from RefSeq and is a predicted model, not a curated record. Lineage: Eukaryota; Metazoa; Chordata; Crocodylia; Alligatoridae. The transcript is spliced from 3 exons.
ACAGAUUGAUUUUACAGCUCCACUCCGAGCCGGCCGCUGGCCCUGGGCAGGGGAUGAAUCAGCUUUCUCUGGGCCUUGGCUUUUAUUACAUUAUUUUCCUUAAACCUUCCUCACAGGCAGCUGAAGAGACAGAGAGAAACACAAAAACCACAGCCUAAAAAACCUUUUUCAGGGUGGAAUAUAAAUUCUGGGGAUGCAACACCCUGCAGGAUGAGCUCCUGCCCUGGAGGGACCAUCCAUCUGCUCUACAGGCAUGUGAGCAGCUUGUAAGAACCAGGUGUAUGCCCAGGACACCUGGCUCACAGAGAUGGACUGGAUAAAAAGAUUAACAUCUCCUUGCCCUUACUUUCCCACUCAUCCAUGAUACAAGCAGCUGACUUUAACAAGGACCGAUUUGCUAUUCAGCAUGUUUUAAUUAAUAUUAAAAUCUAUGGAUUUUUUAAAA